This is a long non-coding RNA of Oncorhynchus keta (chum salmon), 1065 nucleotides long. RefSeq lists it as uncharacterized. The transcript has 2 exons. Lineage: Eukaryota; Metazoa; Chordata; Actinopteri; Salmoniformes; Salmonidae. The record is from RefSeq and is a predicted model, not a curated record.
CACAAGCAAUAGCUUCGUCUUGCUGGCCAGUCCACAUUGUGUUGAACGAAUGCUUGGGGGAUAGCAUCAAACGACUCAACGUAUGAGUUACCCUCGAGAGCCACCGUCGUUACAAGAAUACACCAGCUGUAUGAAAGCGGAGGAGUUGAAACAUGCAACCGCUGUUGCUCUCACGGGAGAGCACUGGACUUCAGCCAGUAACCACAACUACCUUGGGGUUCUGUGCACCACAUUGAUGAAAACUGGAAACUGCAUUCACAUGCUCUGGCCGUAAUGAAGACAAGAGAGGCACUAUGCUGAAACGUGCACCGGGCAUUUCAUGGAUCUAGCAAAGCAGUGGAACAUUGAAAACUAAGUUACCACCGUUUGCACAGACAGUGAACACAGAGAUGCUCUGGUCCAACAGAAUACUAACAUCACCAUGCCAACCACAGCUGAAUUGGAGAAACUGUAGAAGUUGGAGGCACUGCAGGUAUUUGCCUGAACUUCUGGGAGGAGAGAAGUUAAUUUCCUGCUCUGUGGUGUUGCCUGCUUUCUGCCAUCUCCUUCAGGUGAUGGAGAGCUCCGAUGAUGACCUUGUCUAAAUGGUAAGAUUCAAGCUGACAUUCACAACAGACCUGGAGAAACGCAAGUGGAGAAAACACCAACCUCACAUGGCUGAAGAACGCCACAGCACUCGACCCAAGGUUUAAGGACCUGAAGUGCCUUCCCAGACCUGAGAGGGGUGAGGUGUGGGCUUUGGUCAGCAACUUGCUGAAGGAAGAGAGGCCUGCACAGCAACCUGAUGAAGCAACAGAGACAGAGCAACUAAAGAAGAAAGCUGCCAAAAAGCUACAGAAUAUUUUUAGUGUUUCAGUCCUUACAUUCCUAUAACUGAAUAAACUGCUUUUUUAAAUGGAAAUAUGUUCAUUUAGUCGCUCUGGAUAAGAGCGUCUGCUAAAUGACUUAAAUGUAAUGUAAAUGUAAAAUUUGAGCAACAAAAAAAAGUGUGAUUAACUUCAGAAUGUAAUGCAAUUAAUUAUUUGAAUAAUUUGACAGCCCUAUAUUAAAUGUUUUGAAAUCUCA